CAGCAGCCGCGGUAAUACGGAGGGGGCUAGCGUUGUUCGGAAUUACUGGGCGUAAAGCGCACGUAGGCGGCUUGGUAAGUUAGAGGUGAAAGCCUGGAGCUCAACUCCAGAAUUGCCUUUAAGACUGCCGAGCUAGCAGGUGAGAGAGGUAAGUGGAAUUCCGAGUGUAGAGGUGAAAUUCGUAGAUAUUCGGAAGAACACCAGUGGCGAAGGCGGCUUACUGGCUCAUACUGGACGCUGAGGUGCGAAAGCGUAGGGAGCAAACAGGAUUAGAUACCCCUGUAGUCCCUGUCUCUUAUAC
This 301-nucleotide ribosomal RNA is filed under the name uncultured bacterium. RNAcentral's name for it is "partial 16S ribosomal RNA". It matches the Rfam family "Bacterial small subunit ribosomal RNA", at positions 509 to 807 of the family's 1533-position model. The record is from RNAcentral.